UACGUAGGGGGCUAGCGUUGUCCGGAAUCAUUGGGCGUAAAGCGCGCGUAGGUGGCCAUGUAAGUCCGCUGUGAAAGUCAAAGGCUCAACCUUUGAAAGCCGGUGGAUACUGCAUGGCUAGAGUACGGAAGAGGCGAGUGGAAUUCCUGGUGUAGCGGUGGAAUGCGCAGAUAUCAGGAGGAACACCAAUAGCGAAGGCAGCUCGCUGGGACGUUACUGACACUGAGGCGCGAAAGCGUGGGGAGCGAACAGG
RNAcentral lists this ribosomal RNA (253 nucleotides) under uncultured bacterium. RNAcentral describes it as "partial 16S ribosomal RNA". It matches the Rfam family "Bacterial small subunit ribosomal RNA", at positions 524 to 776 of the family's 1533-position model. The record is from RNAcentral.